AAGAAAGUGACAGAGGGGCUAUGUGGCUGGCUUGAAACCAGUUUAUGGGGGUUCAACUCCCUCCUUUCUCG
Molecule: transfer RNA, 71 nt
Filed under: Helostoma temminkii (kissing gourami)
Lineage: Eukaryota; Metazoa; Chordata; Actinopteri; Anabantiformes; Helostomatidae
Description: tRNA-Ser(UCN)
Rfam family: tRNA
About the family: Transfer RNA (tRNA) molecules are approximately 80 nucleotides in length.
Source: RNAcentral